UUUCAGGCUGCUGAGAAACUAGGU
This 24-nucleotide non-coding RNA is filed under the name Cricetulus griseus (Chinese hamster). The record is from RNAcentral. Lineage: Eukaryota; Metazoa; Chordata; Mammalia; Rodentia; Cricetidae.